Molecule: long non-coding RNA, 2264 nt
Filed under: Homo sapiens (human)
Lineage: Eukaryota; Metazoa; Chordata; Mammalia; Primates; Hominidae
Description: non-protein coding lnc-EGFL7-2:1
Source: RNAcentral
CUGGGAACUCAGCGCUCAGCAGUGGACGGUUCUCCAGCCUCAGGUCCAAUGGCCAACUCAUGCCCAGGGCAGGCCCAGUGUGGGGCUUGGGCGCCGAGGGAGGGACCGCACACCUUGAGUUCCUGCCGAGUCCAGAGAAUGGAGGAAGUGGCCAGUGAGGGCCCAACUUGCUGGUGGGCCUCUCUGAGCCCAGCAUCCUCUUCUGAAAUGGGGGCGUGAUGUUCCUGCCUCCCAGGGAGAUCUGCAGACCAGCCCUGCGAGGUGUGGAGUCAGCCCCUGCGCGUGCCCGGUCCCCACUCACAUUGCCACCUGCCUCCGGUGUGGCUGCGAAGUCGGAGGGAGGAGAGAGCCAGCCAGGGGUGUGGGCGCCAAGAUCAGAGACUCGCACGCUGCUGGACGGAAUGUGGACCGGCCCAGCUGCUGGGUCACCUGCCGGCAGCUCCCGAAACAACCAGUCACCACGAGACCCAGCAACUCCACCCCUAGGUGUGCGCCCAAGAUAAACGGAAGCUCCUGUCCGCACAAACACCCGUGCGGCUUCCUUCACUAAGGGUGGAAACGGCCCGGGUGCCCAUGGGUGGGUGACGGAUGAACCGGGUAGACCGUCUGUACAAUGGAAUAUUUAUCCUUCCGCCACAAAAACAGAAGAAAUUCGGACGCAGGCUUCAGUACGGACGGGGUUUAAAGUUGUGAUGUGUACGCCACAGUCCGUGUGUGAUUCCAUUCCCGAGAAGCCCAGCGCUGGCCAGCCCCUGGGAACAGAAGGUGGCUGAGUGGGUCUUUAUGGCUGGGGGGCUGGGGCUGGGCUGAUGACGUUUAUUUUUGAUGAAAAUGUUCUGGGCCAGGCUUUGUGGUGGCUCACAACUGUGAUCCCAGCACUUUGGGAGGCCGAGGCGGGCGGAUCACCUGAGGUCAGAAGUUCAAGAUCAGCCUGGCCAACAUGGUGAAACCCCAUCUCCACUAGAAAUACAAAAAUUAGCUGGGCGUGGUGGUAGCACGUGCCUGUAAUCCCGGCUACUCGGGAGGCUGAGGCAGGAGAAUUGCUUGAACCCGGGAGGCAGAGAUUGCACUGAACCGAGAUCGCGCCACUGCACUCCAGCCUGGGCGACAGAACGAGACUCCGUCCGAAAAAGAAAAAAGAAAAUGUCCUGAAUGGACGGUGGUGACGGCCGCACGUAGCUGAACGUGCUGGAGAUGGUGGAAUCGCCACUGUCGGUGGAGAAAUUCAUGGAGCGUGAAUUACGGCCGACCCCGGAAAAACGCGGGUUUGAACUUUGGGCUCACCUGCACGUGGAUUUUCUCCUUUCUCUGCUGCUCCUGGGUCAGCAAGACCAGCCCCUCCUCUUCCUUCUCCUCCCCAGCCUCCUCAGCAUGAAAAAGACCAGGAUGAAGACCUUUAGGGUGAUCCGCUUCCACGUGGAGACGAGGAAAUGCAUCCUCUCUUCCUUAGGAUUUUCCGAAUGGCAUUUUCUUUUCUCUGGCUUACUGUAUUGUAAGAACACACUAUAUCACACAUUCACGAUACAAAAACGUGCAUCGACUGUUUAUGUUAUUGGUAAAGCUUCUGGUCAAUAGUAGCCUAUGAGUAGUUAAGUUUCGGGGCAAUCAAGAGUUAUACUUGGGUCUGGCGCAGUGGUUCACAACUGUAAUCCCAUCACUUGGGGAGGCCGAGGCGGGCGGAUCUCGAGGUCAGGAGAUCGAGACCAUCCUGGCUAACACGGUGAAACCCCAUCUCUACUAAAAAUACAAAAAAUUAGCCGGGCAUGGUGGCGGGCGCCUGUAGUCCCAGCAACUCAGGAGACUGAGGCAGGAGAAUGGUGUGAACCCAGGAGGCGGAGCUUGCAGUGAGCCAAGAUCCCACCACUGCACUCCAGCCUGGGCGACAGAGCGAGACUCCAUCUCAAAAAAUAAAUAAAUAAAUAAAUAUAGAAACCCCAGCACUUUGGGAGGCCAAGGCAGGCGGAUCACCUGAAGUCAGGAGUUCGAGACCAGCCUGGCCACAUGGUGAAACCCCAUCUCUACUAAAAAUACAAAAAUUAGCCAGGCAUGGUGGCGUGCACCUGUAAUCCCAGCUACUUGGGAGGCUGAGGCAGGAGAAUCACUUGAAACCAGGAGGUGGAGCUUGCAGUGAGCCGAGAUUGCACCACUGCACUCCAGCCUGGGCAACAGAGCAAGACUGUCUAAAAAUAUAUGUAUAUAUUUUUUUUGAGGUCAAGAGUUUGAGACCUUAUAAUAUAUAUAAAUAGAAGGAUUUUCAACUUUGU